CUGACUGACCUGUAUCUAAGAGAGGGGAGGUGUACUAACAACCUGUGGCAAUUACGAAUUAAAUUAUCAGGCGCGAAAAGUACCACGUGAGUGUGAAAUUGUGGAGAAAAAUAAAACGUUAAAUGUGAAAUAAAUCAGUCGGUGGCCUCAUUAUUACGAAAGGAAAAUUAACAAAAACAGAAACGGGCAGCUAUUAGCUUCGGUUUUUUGUUUUGUAUUUUAGCUAGCAGUGUUGGGAUGCUGUCACCAAAAUAACAAACAACCAGCGCAGCAGGGCCAUCAACGACAGAAGAAAACGGACUUUAACAUCAAACACUUCACUGUCUUGGACUGCAGCGGAUGACGUUAGGGCGGCUUUCCAGCUCUCAGCACAUCUCCAGAGAAGAAGAUGAACGACUGCUGCUUCCAGCUGCUGUCCAAGGCAGCUGAGUUGGAGUGCAUCUGAUGGUGGGAUGAGAUGCUCUCUGGGGAAGCAGCUGAUUUUAAGGAUAUGAACAACAACAACAUAGCCAGCGAGGCAGCCAGUAGGGAAAGCACAAGAUGAGAAGGGCCAGAGAAUGGCUUCUUGACAGCCACCCUUCCACUGAGACCAUGUGUGAUGAGUAUUCAGUGAUCAGCAGAUAGUAGAUCCAAUGAAGGUCCAGCUGUAUCUCCAAGGUCCCAUGUCAAGUCAUUGCUGAUUUUUUUUGUCCUGUCCUUUCCCAAGGACAGGGCUUUUAGAUACUGUUCGUCUGUUGUAGAUAGUUUUGCCACUUCUUCCUUUGUCCUCCUUUUGUCCAGCUUCUCCAGUUUUUUAAGGACACACUGCACACCCAACUUUUUGACUAAAAGCUCUUGUUUUAUCUAAGGAAUUGUUCAAUUAUUACUAAAGAAAUGGGAAUAAAUGAAUUCAGUGAAUGGGCUGCUAAUAACAAAGUGCCUAAAAAUACAAUUUAAAAUUGUUUUAUUGUUGAGUUGUCUGCUGUGAGUAGACAGAACACUGGUUCAUCUCUUGAGUUAGGUGCCUUUUUUAUGAAUGAUUCAUUGGUCUGUGUUGGUUUAUCCUGUCUUUCUCC
Long non-coding RNA from Neolamprologus brichardi, 1055 nucleotides. RefSeq lists it as uncharacterized. The record is from RefSeq and is a predicted model, not a curated record. Lineage: Eukaryota; Metazoa; Chordata; Actinopteri; Cichliformes; Cichlidae.